This is a long non-coding RNA of Camelina sativa (false flax), 747 nucleotides long. RefSeq lists it as uncharacterized. The record is from RefSeq and is a predicted model, not a curated record. NCBI's taxonomy places the organism in Eukaryota, Viridiplantae, Streptophyta, Magnoliopsida, Brassicales, Brassicaceae.
UUGUUUAAAUCGAAUUAAUAUACUUAUUUAGCUUGAAUUUUCUUUUUUUCCUUUUUUGUUGAGUUGUUCUUAAAAACAGGAAAACAAAUAAAAUAAGCCUAAAGAAAAGAUAAGUAUCCAGAACCCCUUUAAAUUCUGUCUUUACAUCUAUUCUGUUGAAUUCAAAAUUCUAAUGUUAACCGUUUUCAUUUGACAGGGUUUAAUCUCUUCGAAUUAGGCGUUCAUUGCAAUUGCAUAAAUUGGAUUGAAGAAGGACUAUGAACAUACUGGUGUUUUGAAAGCAAAUCAAUGGUUAAACUACCUUAAUAAAUCUGAAGUGGAGCAAAAUACAAAUCUCUACACAAUCAUAACAGGUAGAUGAGGAAUGUGUUGCAGUUUAACUUACAUGUACAUCUGCGAGGACCAUGUCAAAGGUCUCUCCAAAAGCGGUGGUGUAAGUUUUCCAAGAGUGAAGGACUCGGACUUGCACUGCCCAAGAUGUCUUGUAGGGUUUGACGUCGUUGAGAUCAGUAAGGCCCAAUCUUCUACUAAAAUUGUCAAACCGUGAAGCCCAACAUCAAUUUAAAAUACCAAAGUCAAUGGAUAGGAGAUAAUAAUCGGGUGGGUAUUCGGUAAAAGACGCGGACCCUACCGAAGAAAUCAAUUAAUUUUGUUAUUUUAGUCAAUUUUGUCCUUUUGAAUUUCAAUUAAAUGUCUCCUUUUGUAAUAAUUGAGUGGCAAUUUGAGUAAAUAGAUUAGGGAUUUUGG